Molecule: signal recognition particle RNA, 265 nt
Filed under: Fidelibacterota bacterium
Lineage: Bacteria; Pseudomonadati; Fidelibacterota
Description: signal recognition particle sRNA large type
Rfam family: Bacterial large signal recognition particle RNA
About the family: The signal recognition particle (SRP) is a universally conserved ribonucleoprotein involved in the co-translational targeting of proteins to membranes.
Source: RNAcentral
UCGUGCUAGAUGGGGAGGUAGCGGUGCCCUGUAACCUGCAACCCGCUAUAGCAGGAUCAAUAGCCAUAGUGCGGCUUAUGCUGUGCUGCUGAAAAGCAGUAAGUGAUGUUGAAAUUUCAACCUAUCGCAAUGAAUGCCCACUAAACCCCGUCAGGCCCGGAAGGGAGCAGCGGUAAGUGUCGUAUUCGUGUGCCGAUGGACCUCUGGAAUGGAGUUAACUGCUGCUUUGAUGUUGUUUUCAGGUGGGUCAAACUAUGGUGCACGG